This 218-nucleotide unclassified non-coding RNA is filed under the name soil metagenome. RNAcentral describes it as "partial contains 5.8S ribosomal RNA, internal transcribed spacer 2, and large subunit ribosomal RNA". The record is from RNAcentral.
AACCAUAGAAACCUGCGGAGUACCUGCGGAAGGAUCAUUACAGAGUUCAUGCCCUCACGGGUAGAUCUCCCACCCUUGAAUACUAUACCUUUGUUGCUUUGGCGGGCCGCUUUGGCUACUGGCUCUGGCUAGUAAGUGCCCGCCAAAGAACCCCAAAACUCUGAAUAUUAGUGUCGUCUGAGUACUAUAUAAUAGUUAAAACUUUUAACAAUGGAUCU